GUCCCUCGGAAGCGGCCAGCUGCCUGGAGGGCCCGACUCCUUCUGUGCACUUGUGAUAGUCACUCCUGCACCACAGAGCUCCGCAGUGCUGGAUCCUCCUCCUAGAAGCUGGAAGUCAUUUGCAGCAGAAGCAGGAGGGCGGAAGCACUGCUCAGCUUUCUUAGUCAUGGAGCUUCUUUACACAUGAGGCUGAUUUCAGCUUCUGUUUAAAUGGAAAACUACCCAUUUAUGUUGCUCCUUCUUCAUGUGACUAAUGACACACUAAUCCUAAAAAUGCUUUUUUCCCCCUUCUCUUCUGGUGAUGCUGGGAUGGGAGCCGUGCUGCAUGCUCAGCUAGUUAGUAAAUCACACUUGAGUUCAUAUCCUAACAGUAAAGCCUGUGUUCUUUAAACCAUGUUCUCAUUCUUCAGCAUCUACUGAAGAAAUCUGGCACUUGGAAAAGUAUCGUGUAAGAACUGGAUCAAAUGUGUCUGUCUUAGAAUAAUGUCAUGCCAAAGAGAGAGUUGUGGGUGUUGAUUUUGAUCCAAAUUUAUAGGGUCUUUGCAGAAAUUACAAGGUGCUAAAGUGUCAAAAGUAAAAAAAAAAAAAAGAAUCUACUAUGUACCUAAAACAAAAUUAUAAUUUAAAUUCUAUAUUAGCCAAAGACACACUUUUUAAAAUAGUACCUCAGAAUUUGAAAUGAGUUUUGUUAAAUUAUGGGUAAUAGUAAAUAAUAGACACAAACUCCACCAUAAUGUACACAUCUGUGUGUCAAUAGAGAUGUCCUGUUGCAAGUUAAAAUGUUUGAAUGGCAGACCUUUAUAGACAGGGACUUAUCUAUGUAUGUUAUAUUUUUCAAACAAAGAGUAAAGUACCCUUUGCUAUCUAGUAUCAGAUCAAAGUCUGUCUCUUCAGGGUCCCCUUAUAGUUGGGAAUGGUCUUUAUUUCCCGCUUCUACUCCUAAUCUACUCCUAAUCCACUUGUCUUUCUUUGACAGUAUGCUUCCCAGUGAAGAAUCUGAAGGACAUGAUUUUUAAAAUUUAUCUAUUUAAGGAGGCAUUAAAAGAAAUAGAAUUGAAUAUAGGAGAAAACCAAACUGUAUAACAUGCCUGAAUAAAUGUGCUAUACUUAAAUGUUUGGAUUUUAUUUUUGUUUUAGUAAAUAUACUUAAACUUUAAAAAAAAAGAUGUAAUAGUUGAUGUGUAAAGAACACAGAAACAUUUAGAUAAGAUAAAUACAGAGUCAGAAAAUGAAUAUCUGUGAAUCCAGUACUAGAUUCAGCUGUGGACUGAAGGACUAGAACUUGAUCAUUUCCUGUAACAAUUCUCCCCAAACCUAUCCCUAUGCCACCUUCCUCCUGAAUUUUAUGUGCAUCAUUUCCUUACAUUUUUUAAUUUAGUAAUUUAGUUUUUUUAGUGUAUGUUUCACUAAUGUACA
This 1416-nucleotide long non-coding RNA is filed under the name Marmota monax (woodchuck). The record is from RNAcentral. Lineage: Eukaryota; Metazoa; Chordata; Mammalia; Rodentia; Sciuridae.